RNAcentral lists this long non-coding RNA (500 nucleotides) under Scleropages formosus (Asian bonytongue). RNAcentral's name for it is "lncRNA (ENSSFOG00015027675.1)". Lineage: Eukaryota; Metazoa; Chordata; Actinopteri; Osteoglossiformes; Osteoglossidae. The record is from RNAcentral.
GGGGUCCCUCGUUAAUGAGUGUCAUUAAGCUCAAUGUCGUCGAUGUACGCAGGAGCUCCAGGUGCAGGCCGAGGAGUUCCGGAGGAGGAGCGAGGAGGAGCGCAGGGAGCUGGAGAGGGAGAAGGAGGUUCUGUGCGCUCGGCUGCAGGAGUCCGUCUGCGAGAUCUCCCGGCUGGAGGCCAUCAUCGAGCAGGGCGCGAGAGCUUCCGAGCCUGCGUCGGAGGUGGCGCCCCCUUGUGGCGAGCGCUGCUCCGGGUUACGAGCGGAUCUGGAGAGGGCGCGGCAGAUCGCCGCGGAGAUAAAGGAAGAGCACGAGCUGCUGAAAGCAAAACACCAGGCCGAGGUGUCGGCGCUCCAGAAGGAGAAGGACGCUGCCGAAGAGAGAAUUCUAAAGCAGGCCGAGAGACACCAGGACGAGAAAAUAAGGGCAGCGUGCGAGAGCCUGAAGAAGGACCUGACGGAGCAGCACCUCCUGGCCGUGAGCCGCCUGGAGAGGGAGA